Molecule: ribosomal RNA, 101 nt
Filed under: Acanthosepion pharaonis
Lineage: Eukaryota; Metazoa; Mollusca; Cephalopoda; Sepiida; Sepiidae
Source: RNAcentral
AUGUUGAAACACCGCUUCUCGUACGAUCACCGAAGUUGAGCAACGUCGAGCCUGGUCAGUACCUAGAUGGGUGACCGCUUGGGAAUACCAGGUGGUGUAAG